This 1125-nucleotide ribosomal RNA is filed under the name uncultured bacterium. RNAcentral describes it as "bacterial SSU rRNA". It matches the Rfam family "Bacterial small subunit ribosomal RNA", at positions 196 to 1317 of the family's 1533-position model. The record is from RNAcentral.
GGGACCGSAAGGCCGCACGCGAGCAGAUGCGCCCAGAUGGGAUUAGGCAGUUGGGGAGGUAACGGCUCACCAAACCGAUGAUCUCUAGCUGGUUUGAGAGGACAAUCAGCCACAUUGGAAUUGAGAAACGGACCAAACUCCUACGGGAGGCAGCAGUGGGGAAUAUUGCACAAUGGGGGAAACCCUGAUGCAGCCAUGCCGCGUGUGUGAAGAAGGCCUUCGGGUUGUAAAGCACUUUUGCAUUCGAGGAAGACAGCGUAUAAAUAAAUGCGCUAUUUGACGUUAGAGUGUGAAUAAGCACCGGCAAACUCCGUGCCAGCAGCCGCGGUAAUACGGAGGGUGCGAGCGUUAAUCGGAAUGACUGGGCGUAAAGGGCACGCAGGUGGCGAGAUAAGUUGGAUGUGAAAUUCCCGUGCUUAACAUGGGGACUGCAUCCAAAACUGUUGAACUGGAGUACUGUAGAGGGAGGUAGAAUUCCACGUGUAGCGGUGAAAUGCGUAGAGAUGUGGAAGAAUACCAGAGGCGAAGGCGGCCUCCUGGACAGAUACUGACACUGAGGUGCGAAAGCGUGGGUAGCAAACAGGAUUAGAUACCCUGGUAGUCCGCGCCGUAAACGAUGUUAACUUGAAAUAUGCGUACUACGGUAUGGGUGUUUCGAAGCAAACGCGAUAAGUUAACCGCCUGGGGAGUACGAUCGCAAGGUUAAAACUCAAAUGAAUUGACGGGGGCCCGCACAAGCGGUGGAGCAUGUGGUUUAAUUCGAUGCAACGCGAAGAACCUUACCUGGCCUUGAGAUACCGGGAAUCCUGCAGAGAUGCGGGAGUGCCUUCGGGAACCCGGAUACAGGUGCUGCAUGGCUGUCGUCAGCUCGUGUCGUGAGAUGUUGGGUUAAGUCCCGCAACGAGCGCAACCCUUAUCCUCUGUUGCCAGCACUUCGGGUGGGAACUCAGAGGAGACUGCCAGUUAUAAACUGGAGGAAGGCGGGGAUGACGUCAAGUCAUCAUGGCCCUUACGGCCAGGGCUACACACGUGCUACAAUGGGGCGUACAGAGGGAAGCCAAGCCGUGAGGCGGAGCGGAUCUCACAAAGCGUCCCGUAGUUCGGAUUGAAGUCUGCUAGUGGAUA